RNAcentral lists this ribosomal RNA (305 nucleotides) under uncultured bacterium. RNAcentral describes it as "bacterial SSU rRNA". It matches the Rfam family "Bacterial small subunit ribosomal RNA", at positions 336 to 656 of the family's 1533-position model. The record is from RNAcentral.
UUCCUACGGGGCGCAGCAGUGGGGAAUAUUGGGCAAUGGGCGCAAGCCUGACCCAGCAACGCCGCGUGAAGGAAGAAGGCUUUCGGGUUGUAAACUUCUUUUAAGAGGGAAGAGAAGAAGACGGUACCUCUUGAAUAAGCCACGGCUAACUACGUGCCAGCAGCCGCGGUAAUACGUAGGUGGCGAGCGUUAUCCGGAAUUACUGGGUGUAAAGGGUGUGUAGGCGGGAGUGCAAGUCAGACGUGAAAACUAUGGGCUCAACCCAUAACGUGCGUUUGAAACUGUGCUUCUUGAGAGUGGGAGAG